GGGUGAGGAAACCCGACGCAGAGUCCGGAGAAGGCAGCAUGGAAUCCCUCCCUCAGGCCUCUCUGGACGGUGUUGGUGGUAGGAUCAAGAUGAACACACUGCAGACGAGGACACGAGCCCCACAGGAGCUCUUUGUCCCGCAGGAGACCAGCGGACCCACGUCAGAGAAGAUGCUUGUAUCUUUUCAUGGCUCUUCUCUGAGAAAUGA
Molecule: long non-coding RNA, 208 nt
Filed under: Homo sapiens (human)
Lineage: Eukaryota; Metazoa; Chordata; Mammalia; Primates; Hominidae
Description: non-protein coding lnc-CNTNAP3B-22:2
Source: RNAcentral